CAGGUCACUCCUACGGGAGGCAGCAGUGGGGAAUUUUGCGCAAUGGGGGAAACCCUGACGCAGCAACGCCGCGUGAGUGAUGAAGGCUUUCGGGUCGUAAACUCCUUUCGAUCGAGACGAACGGCCUCCGGAUGAACAGUCCGGGGGAGUGACGGUACCGAGAGAAGAAGCCCCGGCUAACUCCGUGCCAGCAGCCGCGGUAAUACGGGGGGGGCAAGCGUUGUUCGGAAUUACUGGGCGUAAAGAGUGUGUAGGCGGUGUUCUAAGUCUGGUGUGAAAUCUCCCGGCUCAACUGGGAGGGUGCGCUAGAAACUGGAAUGCUAGAGGAUGGGAGAGGUCAGCGGAAUGUGGCAUGUAGCGGUGAAAUGCAUAGAUAUGCCAUAGAACACCAAUUGCGAAGGCAGCUGGCUAGACCUGUAUUGACGCUGAGGCACGAAAGCGUGGGGAGCAAACAGGAUUAGAUACCCUGGUAGUCCACGCUGUAAACGAUGGGCACUAGGUGUCCGGGGUAUUGACCCCCUGGGUGCCGCAGCUAACGCAUUAAGUGCCCCGCCUGGGGAGUACGGUCGCAAGAUUAAAACUUAAAGGAAUUGACG
This 596-nucleotide ribosomal RNA is filed under the name uncultured bacterium. RNAcentral describes it as "bacterial SSU rRNA". It matches the Rfam family "Bacterial small subunit ribosomal RNA", at positions 329 to 915 of the family's 1533-position model. The record is from RNAcentral.